UAAUCUCACCCACCGACUGAUUUGUCGGUGUGUUGUGGAAUUGGAUGCUGCCGUGUCAUAAUGGCUCAUCUUAAAUAUCUGAGUACAUCCUGGAUUGCGAUGUGUUCGGUGUGAUAAAUUUUCACCGGAAUCGACCUUGUCACACUCGCUCAACUAUGGCUCUGUGCUUCCAACAGUCCCAUUUGUGGACAACAUAUCUGACA
RNAcentral lists this unclassified non-coding RNA (203 nucleotides) under uncultured Sebacinales. RNAcentral's name for it is "sequence contains ITS2". The record is from RNAcentral. Lineage: Eukaryota; Fungi; Basidiomycota; Agaricomycetes; Sebacinales.